UUUCCGUAGGUGAACCUGCGGAAGGAUCAUUAAAGAGUAAGGGUCUUCGGGCCCGAUCUCCAACCCUUUGUUUAACUACCAUGUUGCUUUGGCGGGCCCGUCUCACGACCGCCGGAAGUUGGCUUCGACCAAACUUCUGGCCCGUGCCCGUCAGUGGCCCCUUCAAAUUCUUGAUCAAGUAUGAUGUCUUAGUUAAAAACUUAAUAGUUAAAACUUUCAACAACGGAUCUCUUGGUUCUG
Molecule: unclassified non-coding RNA, 240 nt
Filed under: plant metagenome
Description: partial contains small subunit ribosomal RNA, internal transcribed spacer 1, and 5.8S ribosomal RNA
Source: RNAcentral